ACACAAGCCCUGUAAAUAACUUCUCCCAAUAGUGUCAGUAGAUACAAACAACAUAGAAUCAAAUUUAUCAGGUAAUACAUCAAAUUUUGAUGCAAAAAUAAGUGAAACAAAUGAAUGCGAUACACCAGAGUCAAUCAAAACAUGAGCAAGAUAGUUACAGAUUGUGUACAUACCCUGUACUAUGUCCAGAUUGGCUUCAGCAUCCUGCUGGGUGAGAUUGUAAGCUCUGCCCUUGAUAGGAGGUCUGCCCUAAUUCUAGUUCCUUGGGCACUCUCUCGCAUAAUGUUAGGCACUACCACAUAUGCGACAGGUGUUGUUGAGGCGGUAGCAGGGUCGGUCUCCAUGAUCCCUGCUGCAAUGUUGACAGA
Molecule: long non-coding RNA, 368 nt
Filed under: Carica papaya (papaya)
Lineage: Eukaryota; Viridiplantae; Streptophyta; Magnoliopsida; Brassicales; Caricaceae
Description: long non-coding RNA (CPAP_LNC001160)
Source: RNAcentral